CAAGGCUUGACAUGGGCCGGACCGGGCUGGAAACAGUCCUUCCCCUUUGGGGCCGGUUCACAGGUGGUGCAUGGUUGUCGUCAGCUCGUGUCGUGAGAUGUUGGGUUAAGUCCCGCAACGAGCGCAACCCUCGUUCCAUGUUGCCAGCGCGUAAUGGCGGGGACUCAUGGGAGACUGCCGGGGUCAACUCGGAGGAAGGUGGGGACGACGUCAAAUCAUCAUGCCCCUUAUGUCUUGGGCUUCACGCAUGCUACAAUGGCCGGUACAAAGGGUUGCGAUACUGUGAGGUGGAGCUAAUCCCAAAAAGCCGGUCUCAGUUCGGAUUGGGGUCUGCAACUCGACCCCAUGAAGUCGGAGUCGCUAGUAAUCGCAGAUCAGCAACGCUGCGGUGAAUACGUUC
This 400-nucleotide ribosomal RNA is filed under the name uncultured Arthrobacter sp. Its description in RNAcentral is "bacterial SSU rRNA". It matches the Rfam family "Bacterial small subunit ribosomal RNA", at positions 975 to 1373 of the family's 1533-position model. The record is from RNAcentral. Lineage: Bacteria; Bacillati; Actinomycetota; Actinomycetes; Micrococcales; Micrococcaceae.